Molecule: ribosomal RNA, 368 nt
Filed under: uncultured organism
Description: bacterial SSU rRNA
Rfam family: Bacterial small subunit ribosomal RNA
Source: RNAcentral
CGGAGGGUGCAAGCGUUAUCCGGAUUCACUGGGUUUAAAGGGUGCGUAGGUGGGUUGGUAAGUCAGUGGUGAAAUCCCCGAGCUUAACUUGGGAACUGCCAUUGAUACUAUCAGUCUUGAAUAUCGUGGAGGUUAGCGGAAUAUGUCAUGUAGCGGUGAAAUGCUUAGAUAUGACAUAGAACACCAAUUGCGAAGGCAGCUGGCUACACGAAUAUUGACACUGAGGCACGAAAGCGUGGGGAUCAAACAGGAUUAGAUACCCUGGUAGUCCACGCCCUAAACUAUGGAUACUCGACAUCAGCGAUACACUGUUGGUGUCCGAGCGAAAGCAUUAAGUAUCCCACCUGGGAAGUACGAUCGCAAGAUUG